CCCUUAGAUGUUCUGGGUCGCACGCGCGCUACACUGAUGCAUUCAACGAGUCUAAAACCUGCUCUGAUAGGGGUGGGUAAUCUUUUGAAUGUGCAUCGUGAUUGGGAUAGAUGAUUGCAAUUUUUCAUCUUCAACGAGGAAUGCCUAGUAAACGCAAGUCAUCAGCUUGCAUUGAUUACGUCCCUGCCCUUUGUACACACCGCCCGUCGCUCCUACCGAUUGAAUGAUCCGAUGAAUAUCAUGGAUUGAGGAUGCAAGUAGGUUAGCCUAUCUUCAUCUUCGAGAAGUGAAGUAAAUCUUAUCAUUUAGAGGAAGGAGAAGUCGUAACA
RNAcentral lists this ribosomal RNA (329 nucleotides) under uncultured eukaryote. Its description in RNAcentral is "partial 18S ribosomal RNA". It matches the Rfam family "Eukaryotic small subunit ribosomal RNA", at positions 1470 to 1796 of the family's 1831-position model. The record is from RNAcentral.